RNAcentral lists this ribosomal RNA (512 nucleotides) under uncultured bacterium. Its description in RNAcentral is "partial 16S ribosomal RNA". It matches the Rfam family "Bacterial small subunit ribosomal RNA", at positions 28 to 507 of the family's 1533-position model. The record is from RNAcentral.
GAUGAACGCUGGCGGCGUGCCUAAUACAUGCAAGUCGAACGAAACUUCUUUAUCACCGAGUGCUUGCACUCACCGAUAAAGAGUUGAGUGGCGAACGGGUGAGUAACACGUGGGCAACCUGCCCAAAAGAGGGGGAUAACACUUGGAAACAGGUGCUAAUACCGCAUAACCAUAGUUACCGCAUGGUAACUAUGUAAAAGGUGGCUAUACUACCGCUUUUGGAUGGGCCCGCGGCGCAUUAGCUAGUUGGUAGGGUAAAGGCUUACCAAGGCAAUGAUGCGUAGCCGAAUUGAGAGGUUGAUCGGCCACAUUGGGACUGAGACACGGCCCAAACUCCUACGGGAGGCAGCAGUAGGGAAUCUUCCACAAUGGGCGAAAGCCUGAUGGAGCAACGCCGCGUGGGUGAAGAAGGUCUUCGGAUCGUAAAACCCUGUUGUUAGAGAAGAAAGUGCGUGAGAGUAACUGUCCACGUUUCGACGGUAUCUAACCAGAAAGCCACGGCUAACUACGUG